Molecule: small RNA, 22 nt
Filed under: Arabidopsis thaliana (thale cress)
Lineage: Eukaryota; Viridiplantae; Streptophyta; Magnoliopsida; Brassicales; Brassicaceae
Description: Ath_wt_20938
Source: RNAcentral
UACUAGGAUGGGUGACCUCCCG